AAAAAACCCCUGUAUCUGGGGUUGUAAAGGGACGAAAGGGCAAGAGCACUAGCUGCAGUGGAGCCACUGGUUAUGGGACAUCCAACUGCUUGGCAUUUCUUGAUGAUUGAAUUGGCGUGCCUGUUAUUAACGAGAUGAAUGGCGCUGUGAUCUCUAGCUGCAGCGUUCUUUGAAAAGUCCUUUGGUUGAGGGAACAGUCGUGUCCAUAGCAGUCAAGAGCCUCCGAGCACCUGCAGCUGCGAUGCCAGUAUUGUAGAGUCCCACCCGGAAUGCCAUGUUGGGAGUAGCAGUCUGUCGUCCAGGUCCAUUUUGAGGUAUUUCGGUGUAAAGUUUUUGUCUCUGUGUUGUGAAUCCACAUUUUUGGCAGUACAUUGCUUCAGAUACGGCUAAACCUCUGCACUCCUCUGCCUCUGU
This 414-nucleotide long non-coding RNA is filed under the name Patiria miniata (bat star). Its description in RNAcentral is "uncharacterized LOC119728614, transcript variant X3". The record is from RNAcentral. Lineage: Eukaryota; Metazoa; Echinodermata; Asteroidea; Valvatida; Asterinidae.